UCAGGCCUAACACAUGCAAGUCGCACGAGAAAGGGCGCAAGCCCCGGUACAGUGGCGCACGGGUGAGUAACACGUAGAUGACCUUCCCUGGAGUGGUGGAUAACCUGCCGAAAGGCGGGCUAAUACAGCAUAGGACCACGCGGUUUUGACUGUGUGGUGAAAGCGGGCCUCUGUUCACAUGCUCGCGCUUCGGGAUGGGUCUGCGGCCCAUCAGCUAGUUGGUGAGGUAACGGCUCACCAAGGCAACGACGGGUAGCUGGUCUGAGAGGAUGAUCAGCCACACUGGAACUGAGACACGGUCCAGACUCCUACGGGAGGCAGCAGUGGGGAAUCUUGCGCAAUGGGCGAAAGCCUGACGCAGCGACGCCGCGUGGGUGACGAAGGCCUUCGGGUUGUAAAGCCCUGUGGGGAGGAACGAACCGUGGUCGGGCGAACACCCCGG
RNAcentral lists this ribosomal RNA (442 nucleotides) under uncultured bacterium. RNAcentral describes it as "bacterial SSU rRNA". It matches the Rfam family "Bacterial small subunit ribosomal RNA", at positions 42 to 471 of the family's 1533-position model. The record is from RNAcentral.